CACAUAAUGAAUGCUGUUCUAUUGACAGGGACCAUACUGGGACACUUAACCUACUUGUGCUUCCAAGUGAGAUCAUUGUGGUUCUUUUUUCCAACCUGAAAAAUCCUUGAAGCCCUUGAAGCCAUGCCUAGUGAUACCUGUGCAUGAUCCGACCCAUACCUAACAAAAGGAUUCAGGACUCAGAAGGUCCUUGGAGAAGAUAAUGACACUGCAUUACCAAAAUGCAAGGAUAUAAAAAUAAAUUCAUUAAUACAGUGGUUCUGGAAUUUGCGUAUCAGCACUGAUACACCACCUGGUAUCAGCACUGUGGAGACACGGAGCCAAUCUGAGUUCACUACAAAGCAGUACAGAGAGUGACCCAAAGAAUCUCCUGACAACCAGGUAUCAUCACAAUGAUGGCUGUUGCUGUUGAGUGUGGACUCCCCCUUCAAACCUAUUGGCAGCCACAGGAGUGACAAGGAAGUGUGAGACAACAGGAUUUAAAGUCACCAACACUUCAAAGAAGCAACCUAAGUGUCUGUGGAUGGAUGAAUAGAUAAAGAAAAUGUUAUAUAUAUAUGAAUAUUAUUCAGCCAUAAAAAGAAGGAAGUCCUGUCAUUUGCAACAACACAGAUGAAACAAAAGGGCAUUAUGCUAAAUGAAAUAAGUCAGACAGAGAGAAAGACAAAUACUGUAUGAUCUCACUAUUUAAAUAUGGAGUCUUAAAAAAAAAGUCAAACUCCUAACAAACAGGAGAAUGGUGGUCACCAAGGGCUGGCACAUGGGGGGAAUGGGAAGAUAUUGAUCAAAAGGCACAAACUUCCAGUUAUAAGAUGAAUAAGUUCUGGGUAUCUAAGGUACACAUGGUGAUUACAGUUAAUAAUACUGUAUUAUAUCCUGGAAAAUUGCUAAGGAAAUAGAUGUUAUGCAUUCUUACCAGAAAA
Molecule: long non-coding RNA, 923 nt
Filed under: Canis lupus familiaris (dog)
Lineage: Eukaryota; Metazoa; Chordata; Mammalia; Carnivora; Canidae
Description: lncRNA (ENSCAFG00000045792.2)
Source: RNAcentral